This is a long non-coding RNA of Mus musculus (house mouse), 891 nucleotides long. RefSeq annotates it as predicted gene, 51986. The transcript has 3 exons. The record is from RefSeq and is a predicted model, not a curated record. NCBI's taxonomy places the organism in Eukaryota, Metazoa, Chordata, Mammalia, Rodentia, Muridae.
CCCCCCCUCUCAGUCUCUUGUAUCAGAUGACAGUGACCUGGAAGUUGAUUUCCCUUCAUGCUCAAUUUCACCCAAGAGCAGCUAAGUUAGGAACCACAAAAGGAUGUGGUGGGUGACACUAAUCGAUCCUGCCUCUGAUAUAAAAAUACCAGCACUACGGAAAGCCUGUUUCCUGUGGCCAUGGUCAACACAAGGGCAAGCUAGAAUUUCUGUUCUGGGUCUGGGAAGAACCAGUCUAUGCUUUGGGUCUCAGGUGCCCACUAGCGUUCCCAGCCAAGCAGAGAGACGGUCCUUUGGUUCCUGGUGACUCCCUAAUCACCUGGGGGCUUUGUUCUCAAGCAUAAUGGAGUCCUUGCACGGGGAGUGGCCCUGCCUAUGGACAGUGGUUGCCGCUGGCUUUGAAGAGAUACAAAGAGGGUCUAAGUCUCUGAGACCUGUGGAUCCCAGACCACAUAAUAAGAGCUAGCAGGUGGCGCCGAGGCAAGCAGAAGACUGGCGGGGCCAAGGCCAGCGGGCAGCACCUGGACAUUCCAGGCUAUUCUUCGUGUUCUUGGAGAAGCAAGCAACCCAUGUGGCCCACCAGUUCUAUUUCAGGCCAAAUCUGCCUCCCUGCCAACUUCCCUCACCAAAUCCAACUUCUCCCUGGGCCAUCAAACAAGGCUAAUUUCUUUCCCUUCAAGUAUUUAAGUGAAAUUAAAAAAAAAAAAAGUCUCUUCCCAAGUUUCUUGUCCUCUAAGCUAAACACAACUUGCUUGCCAUGCUUCACAGGUCAUGAUUUCUUGUCCUCAAUAAAACUAAUUAUACUCAUAAAAGGAAUGCAGCAGAGAGGGGAAGACUUAGCACAGAGAGGAUUCUUUGCAAGCCAUUUACAGGCUCAAUGCAAUUCCAGGA